GAUGAAGAACGCAGCGAAAUGCGAUAAGUAAUGUGAAUUGCAGAAUUCAGUGAAUCAUCGAAUCUUUGAACGCACAUUGCGCCCCCUGGUAUUCCGGGGGGCAUGCCUGUCCGAGCGUCAUUACAACCCUCAAGCUCAGCUUGGUAUUGGGCCCCGCCGACCCGGCGGGCCCUAAAGUCAGUGGCGGUGCCGUCCGGCUCCGAGCGUAGUAAUUCUUCUCGCUCUGGAGGUCCGGUCGUGUGCUCGCCAGCAACCCCCAAUUUUUUUCAGGUUGAACUCGGAUCAGGUAGGGAUACCCGCUGAACUUAAGCAUAUCAAUAAGCGGAGGA
Molecule: unclassified non-coding RNA, 329 nt
Filed under: soil metagenome
Description: partial contains 5.8S ribosomal RNA, internal transcribed spacer 2, and large subunit ribosomal RNA
Rfam family: 5.8S ribosomal RNA (bases 1-120)
Source: RNAcentral